This is a non-coding RNA of Cucurbita pepo subsp. pepo (vegetable marrow), 455 nucleotides long. The record is from RefSeq and is a predicted model, not a curated record. Lineage: Eukaryota; Viridiplantae; Streptophyta; Magnoliopsida; Cucurbitales; Cucurbitaceae.
GGUGAGAACCAUUUCGACGGUCUUCGUUCUGGCCUCUGAACUGGAAAUUGCCAAUGCGCUGAGGAGGAUCACAAAUACAACCACAUAACCAGGCAGAGAGGUUCCUGAAUUGAAAGGUGCGAAUCAAUCGUCCACUACGAUGGAAUUACUUCAAUCUCAUGCACACAACUGUUGUGAAAUCGACGAAAUUACGAGGUUUGAGAGGUUGAAUCCCUUGGCCGGCGGAUGAUAUUUUUGUUCCUCCUCAGCAGAAUUUCCCCCGGGUUUUGCCUUCGAAAUCAAAAAAGUGGAAUUCUUUUCCCCCCGUUGUAUUUCCAAGAUAUCUUUUCUUGAUAUCCGAAAGGGAGGGAAAAAAAUGUUGCGUUAAACACAGACGUCCCGGGAACUAUGAGGAAAACCCUUUUUCCUUUUUCCUUCUUUAUUUUUAUUUAUUUUUUUAUUUUUUUUAUUUUUUA